RNAcentral lists this non-coding RNA (91 nucleotides) under Fructobacillus sp. RNAcentral describes it as "TPP sequence". It matches the Rfam family "TPP riboswitch aptamer (THI element)". Rfam says of the family: Vitamin B(1) in its active form thiamin pyrophosphate (TPP) is an essential coenzyme that is synthesised by coupling of pyrimidine and thiazole moieties in bacteria. The record is from RNAcentral. Lineage: Bacteria; Bacillati; Bacillota; Bacilli; Lactobacillales; Lactobacillaceae.
UAUAGCGAUCUGGGGUACCAUUUUGGUUGAGAAUUAAACCCAUUGAACCUGUUAGGCUAAGACCGACGAAGGAAGAUCCACACAAGUUUUU